Molecule: small nucleolar RNA, 139 nt
Filed under: Setaria italica (foxtail millet)
Lineage: Eukaryota; Viridiplantae; Streptophyta; Magnoliopsida; Poales; Poaceae
Description: Small nucleolar RNA Z247
Rfam family: Small nucleolar RNA Z247
About the family: Z247 is a member of the C/D class of snoRNA which contain the C (UGAUGA) and D (CUGA) box motifs.
Source: Rfam by way of RNAcentral
CCUCUCGGUGAAGAAGAGCUCACCUCGUACAUCCUGAUGGGGCUCGACAUGGAGUACAACCAGCUCGUGUAUGUUGUCCUAGCACGGGUGGAACCCAUCUCCGUCAGUGAUUUGAUGGUGCAGCUGUUGAGCUUUGAGG